This 522-nucleotide ribosomal RNA is filed under the name beta proteobacterium A62-16. Its description in RNAcentral is "bacterial SSU rRNA". It matches the Rfam family "Bacterial small subunit ribosomal RNA", at positions 1 to 522 of the family's 1533-position model. The record is from RNAcentral. Lineage: Bacteria; Pseudomonadati; Pseudomonadota; Betaproteobacteria.
UGGAGAGUUUGAUCCUGGCUCAGAUUGAACGCUGGCGGCAUGCUUUACACAUGCAAGUCGAACGGUAACAGGGAGCUUGCUCCGCUGACGAGUGGCGAACGGGUGAGUAAUGCGUCGGAACGUGCCGAGUAGUGGGGGAUAACGCAGCGAAAGUUGUGCUAAUACCGCAUACGUACUGAGGUAGAAAGUGGGGGACCUUCGGGCCUCACGCUAUUCGAGCGGCCGACGUCUGAUUAGCUAGUAGGUGAGGUAAAGGCUCACCUAGGCGACGAUCAGUAGCGGGUCUGAGAGGAUGAUCCGCCACACUGGGACUGAGACACGGCCCAGACUCCUACGGGAGGCAGCAGUGGGGAAUUUUGGACAAUGGGCGAAAGCCUGAUCCAGCCAUGCCGCGUGUCUGAAGAAGGCCUUCGGGUUGUAAAGGACUUUUGUCGGGGAGGAAAUCCCCAGCGCUAAUACCGCUGGGGGAUGACAGUACCUGAAGAAUAAGCACCGGCUAACUACGUGCCAGCAGCCGCGGUA